RNAcentral lists this unclassified non-coding RNA (307 nucleotides) under uncultured fungus. RNAcentral describes it as "partial contains small subunit ribosomal RNA, internal transcribed spacer 1, and 5.8S ribosomal RNA". The stretch from base 1 to 73 matches the Rfam family "Eukaryotic small subunit ribosomal RNA", at positions 1759 to 1831 of the family's 1831-position model. Lineage: Eukaryota; Fungi. The record is from RNAcentral.
GCAAACUUGGUCAUUUAGAGGAAGUAAAAGUCGUAACAAGGUUUCCGUAGGUGAACCUGCGGAAGGAUCAUUAACGAGUUUUGAAAGGGGUUGUAGCUGGCCUUCCGAGGCAUGUGCACGCCCCGCUCAUCCACUCUACACCUGUGCACUUACUGUGGGCUUUGAAAGCCGUGCUUCUAGUGCGGUAAUCGAGCCUACGUUUUAUUACAAACUCUUCAGUAUCAGAAUGUUUAUUAUGAUGUUAACGCAUCUAUAUACAACUUUCAGCAACGGAUCUCUUGGCUCUCGCAUCGAUGAAGAACGCAGC